AUGGCAUCCCCUGCCGAUAGACACGUCAUCACAGCCGCACUAUUCAGGGCGCCAAUCGGGAUCGAGCUUUGCAGGUCAAGUCGUCUGCUCGGAUCGGAAACGUAUUGCCCAGCGUUCUUUUCUCCCCGUACACGUCUUCUCCUCCUUUCUUCUCUCUCUCGUUUUUCCUCCCCAAUUGGGUUGCCGCCGCCGCCGCCGCCCGCCAACGGCGGCAGGCUGGAUUUGGACGCCGUGUUCGGGGCGGAUGGGUUCAUCUCCUCCCCCCGCUACGAGAAGCUCAUGGCCGAGACCCCGUACUCCGUCCUCGACGUUGACCACCUCGUCGACCCACCCCCGCCCAACUUCGCCUCCCGUCUGGAGGGCCUCAUCAAAUUGUCCGAUCUGGUUCAUGUAAGAGAUCUUGUUACUGUUAGCUUUGCAAGAAGUGGGGGUGCGGGUGGUCAGAAUGUUAAUAAAGUAAAUACAAAGGUUGACAUGCGGUUCAAUGUUGAGAAAGCUCAUUGGCUUGGGGAGAGGAUUAAGGAACGGAUAUUCCAAAUGGGGGAUGUGAUGGCGAUGACUGAUAUGGUUGCCGGCAGUUAA
RNAcentral lists this ribosomal RNA (582 nucleotides) under Triticum aestivum (bread wheat). Its description in RNAcentral is "partial small subunit ribosomal RNA". The record is from RNAcentral. Lineage: Eukaryota; Viridiplantae; Streptophyta; Magnoliopsida; Poales; Poaceae.